UGUGUUGUAAGUGUUUAAGGGCGCAUGGUGGAUGCCUUGGCACUGGGAGCCGAUGAAGGACGUGGGAGA
RNAcentral lists this ribosomal RNA (69 nucleotides) under Mycolicibacterium peregrinum. RNAcentral's name for it is "partial 23S ribosomal RNA". RNAcentral also lists the same sequence under 1 other name. The record is from RNAcentral. Lineage: Bacteria; Bacillati; Actinomycetota; Actinomycetes; Mycobacteriales; Mycobacteriaceae.